Paramuricea clavata is the source of this 201-nucleotide non-coding RNA. The record is from the annotation of a GenBank genome assembly. NCBI's taxonomy places the organism in Eukaryota, Metazoa, Cnidaria, Anthozoa, Malacalcyonacea, Plexauridae.
AUGUAACAUUAGUUUUAUCAAUAAUUUUAACUUUCACAUCUUGCAUACCAUUAUGACCUUGAUAAAAAAAUGAGCAUACAAAUGCUCGCCUGCCAUACCCCUUUCACCUCUCCCAUAUCUAUUCAUGCUACUUUUGUGGUUGUUAAAACGUAUCCUAAAACUAGUAAUUGUACUCCCCACAUACUUUUUCCCACAUUUUCC